RNAcentral lists this long non-coding RNA (10371 nucleotides) under Pelobates cultripes (western spadefoot toad). The record is from RNAcentral. Lineage: Eukaryota; Metazoa; Chordata; Amphibia; Anura; Pelobatidae.
GUCCAGAUUUUGUACAAGGGAUACAACUUUAUAUUAUUUUUCUUUUAUUAAUUUUUUUUAUUGAUUUUAAAAUUUUUAGUACAAACUGGUUCUAAAAAAAGAACCAAAAAAAUCAAAUCAUACAAUCAAUAGUAUGCCACAUUUAUCAACAUUAAUAAAGGGCUUUUGUGGAUCGGUGAGGCAAAAUAUCAAGACAUAACAAAUACACCAUAAUACAUAUACAAAACAACUCUACAUUAUUAUAUCUAUUAUUGUAAAACAAUCAGAAAAUAUAUGUAUUACCAAUAAAUAAAAAGAGAAAACAGGAUAAAGAAACAAUUCAAGUAAAACAAAAGACUUUAUGGCAGAGAAAAUAUCCACAUUUAGAAAACAUUGCCAAGUAAAAUUACUCUGAAGGCAGACGAUGUAUCUAAAUUAGAUCAUGGCCCAUUUCGAGUACAACUAGUGCAGCAUAAGAUAAACUUAAACUUGUAAUGCAUUCAACAAUCUAAACCCUUGACAGUAAUAGCUACACAAAUACACAUACAAAUUCAACAUUAGUUAACGGUUUUUGGUUGUAACUAGCUGAAAAAAGGGUACUGUUCUUCCUUGUUUGAAUAUACAGGUACUCCUCACUUACCGACCGGGUUCUGUUCCUAUGCCCUCGCAGUAGAAUGAAUUGGUCGGUAAGUGAGGAGUUAAGGGAUUUCCUGCUCUUGUGUGCUUGUCUAUGUUCGGGGAAACAUCCCCGAACAUAGACGAAGCACCAGAACAGGGAAUCCCUCUAAUCUAUGCUUGUAAGUGCAAGCCGUCGUAAAACAGGUAGGUCGCAAAACAAGGACCACCUGUACUGUAACAUAUAGACAUUUCUUUUUUUAAUUUACUUUUAUUUAUUAAAUUUUUUAUUUACAUUUUAAAAUGUGUAACAAUUGUUAAACAAUAACACAGCACACCACCUCACACACAUACAGUGUCGUAAGCAAAAAGCAGUUUCAGAGUGUCCAAUGUCAGGACUUCAUUUCAUGUACAAUAAAUAGUAUUGGGUGCUGCAAUUGCACAGUUGAUAUAAUUGUAGUUUUCUUGAUUUGUUUUAUUUUAUUUUUGAUAAUAAACCUCUUUUGAGCAUUUUUACUAUAAUGGGUAAACAUGAUCAAAAGUGGUAGUGUGGUAGUUUCAUAAUAUUUCUGUACUCACAUGUGAUCAACACAUCAGUAUUAAUCAUUCAUACUCAAAGUUCCUCACAAACCAAAGUGCUAAUUAUCAGAUUUAUUUUAUAGCUGACAUACUUCUAAAAAAAGCAAUCUAAGAUCACUCAUACAUACAACAAUAUUUGUAGUUGUUACAGUUGUGUGCAGAUCUUUGACUUUAGGGGUCUUAGCAAAGAAUCCCAAUGGUGGCAUGCCCGUUAGGUGUGUGCAGAUGAAGGGGAAAAUCAAACAGCAUACGUACUCACCAAAUGCUAUUCCUUGCAGGUGUGUCAUCAGCUUCAUUUACCAGGAGCCCAUGUCAUUGUUGUACCCACAUAAAUGUGUUAAGAGUACACAACGAGGUCUAUGGAAGAUCCCACAAAACCACAGAAUCCUACACAGAACUACUUUUGUAGUGACUUUCCCCAUAGACACCGCUAGUGAUGACUGCUGGAAAGUCACAAAGUUGAUGGUAGAAGUUCUCCCUUUGGUCAACCUUGGCUUCGUCCAUAAGACAUAUCAGUUUCUACUUUGUUUUUACAAAUUUUUGGAUGGCGAUGGAAUUUCAAGGAAAUUCAAUAUGAAUAUUUCAGAAAGAUUAUACAUUUAUGGAAUAUUCAGAAGUUACAGAGCCACUUUAAAUUACAACUGUUACAUCCUUGGAGAUGACAACUCUGCCAUGGAAAUCCUAUUAAGAGCUUGAGUAUUGCUGCAGAAGUAAAUAUACUUUGUUGAAGGUACACUUCAUGUAUGCUGCAGUGACCAUUUAACAUGAAACCUUUUCUUACUGUGUGAUCUUUCCUAUAUUCUGCACAUCUGUCUUUCUACCUACCUAUCUAUGGAAUUAUCUGUCUGUCUAUGUACAUAAUACCUAUUGUGCUGUAAAUGGUAUAUUUCCCUUUAAAUUCAUGUGUGAUCCGCAAUUAAAGUACAACUGUCACCUCAAAACUAUUGUAAAUAUAAUAAUACUUUUAUCAAGUUAAAAAAAAAGGAUAUGUAAAAAAUGAGAAAAACAUAUCCCUAACUUCAGUAUAUGACAGGGUGUAGCUUAGGUCAGACACUGUUUGAAAACUGACAAUCAGUCUCUAUAACCUUUCCUGCUUCACUAAUUGUCGGAUUUUAGAGUGUCGAACCCAAGCUGCAUGUAUAUGGCUGAAGGAUCUUGUCAUAUACUAAUGGUAGGAAUACAUUUAUCUUGUUUUCUAAAUAUACCUCAUUUAAAAAAAAAUAUAUAUUUCAUUUCAAAACUUGAUGAAAGGAUUAUUAUAUUAAAAAAUAGUUUUCAGGUGAGAAGUGUCCUUUAUAUAAUACGCUGCAGCAUACAAAGUUGUAAUAGGUACUGAGAGAGGGUAAGCUCUCAUUGUGUUCUGUUUGUUGAAAAUUAAUUAUCUAAAUAGUUUUAAGAAAUAUCAUACAAGUAAGUUCACUGUGAGUGGCCCAACUCAGUGUUUCUGAAUUGACAAUACUAUAAACAGUCUGUUUUUUUGUUUCAUAACUCGGUGUAAACACUUGCUGGGUAAAACUGUUUUUUAUUACACUGAGGUUUCAGUUUAAUUAUAAUAAUAGAGAUCCAGCUUUUUAAUAAUAACAGAUUGCAGUGGCAAAUUAGUGUUGUAGCAAUAUGUGCUAGUGAGAGUGAAAGCCAAAUCAGAGCAGCAGGUUCAUUAUCUAUGGAAGCCUUCAAGUUGUCAUCGAAUUAUCCCAUCUCUUGUCAGCUUUUAUUUUCACCACUUAAACACUGCCUCCUGCCUGCUCGUCUGAAUGCCGUAUCUGUACUUCUCAUUAACAGAAGGAUUGCUCAGAUGCAUGCCAAACUUUCUUUUAAUCCAGUUAGCUGAUAUAUUUGUGAAAUUCAUACAGCAAAUAUUUAAAAUAAAUAAAUAAAUAAACUAAACCAGCUUCACUGUGAACAUCGACAAAGAUACGUGCAGGGUUAUUUGCUAAAGUGAGAAUUUUAGGGAAUUCAAAGUAAAUAUAAGGCCAAACUAGCCAAGUCAUCUUUCCUUGUAAUUCAGCUUUACAUUUUAAAAUUACUCUGAAUUACCUACAAUUCUCAAUUUAGUGAUAACCCAAGUUAUCAUCCUGUGCAGAAACCAUUAUACUCAAAGAGACAAAGCUGUUCUCCAUUUUGAAGGAAAUGUCUAAAAACAUUGGACUUUAUAUCCUUUGCAUUAUGGGUACAAGCCAGUCCUGUCUCUGCUCACCGUCUUCUAACUGCAACACAAAUCACUGCAACUACACGCCCAUCCCAUUCCCUCACUCAAAUAUACUUAGAUUAUAAGUAUUAUUAUUAUUAUUAUUAUUAUUGCCAUUUAUAUAAUGCAAUAUUAUGAGAGGGGGGAUUUAACUAUAAAUAGGACAAUUACAAGAAAACUAACAGGAACGAAAGGUUGAAGAGGGCCCUGCUCAAACGAGCUAACAGUCUAUAGGAAGUGGGGUAUAAAAUACAAUAGGACAGGAAAUAGCAAUCAAAUAAGGUGGGAGUGAAGCAGAGCUGGAGGAGAAAAUAAAGUGCUGCCCUUUAGGAGAGAGCAAGAGACAGGUGUGUGACGUAGAGGUUACUCUGGGAGGCCAUAAGCUUUCCUAAAGAGAUGGGUUUUAAGGCACUUCUUAAACGAUUGAAGACUAGGGGGAGAGUCUGAUGGCGGUAGGCAGGCUAUUCCAUUGGAAGGGAGCCGCCCGCGAGAAGUCCUGCAAACGUGAGUUGGCAGUACGGGUGCGAGCAGCGGACAGGAGAAAGUCAUGGGCAGAGCAGAGAGACCGAGAAGGGGCAUACCUAUGGAUCUGUGAAGUGAUAUAAGAGGGGCUUGAAUUGUUCAGUGCUUUAUAGGUAUGGGUUAGCACUUUGAACUGACUCCUAUAAGAUAUAGAGAGCCAAUGUGAGAACUGACAAAGGGGUGAGGUGUGAGAGGACCGACUAUAGAGAAAAAUCAGGCUGGCGGCAGCAUUCAUUACAGACUGUAGUGGGGCAAUAUGGCUUUUGGGAAGACCAAUUAAGUGGGGGUUACAAUAAUCCAUGGUAGCAUUUUGCGUAAGAAAGGGGCAGAUGUGGGCUAUGUUUUUAAGAUGGAAUCUACAGGAUUUGGCAACAUACUGGAUGUGAGGCUCAAAGGUGAGGCCAGAAUCAAGAAUGAUGCCAAGACAGCGCGCUUGCAAGGAUGGACUUAUGUGGAUACCACUAACUUGAAGGGAGAGCGAGAGAGGAGGAUCAGUAUUAGGAGGAGGAAAGACAAGGAGUUCAGUUUUAGAGAGAUUGAGUUUCAGAAAGUGUGAGGACAUCCAGUCAGAGAUGGAAGAAAGGCAAGCAGUGACACGUUGCAGGACGGCAGGGGAGAGGUCCGGGGAGGAGAGAUAUAUCUGGGUGUCAUUAGCGUACAGGUGGUAGUGGAAUCCAAAUGAGGUAAUAAGUUUGCCAAGAGAGGCAGUAUAAAGAGAAAAUAGAAGGGGACCAAGAACAGAGCCUUGGGAUACUCCAAAAGAGACAGGACGAGGGGAGGAGGUAUCAUUAGAAAAGGAGACACUGAAUGAGCGUUGGGAGAAAUAAGAGGAAAACUACGAGAGGACAGCGUCACAGAGACCAAGAGUUUGAAGAAGGAGAGCAUGAUGUUUUUUUCAGGAUAGAUACUACAGUGGCAUGUUUAAGGUCAGCAGGGACAACGCCAGAAGAGAGAGCAGUUGAAGAUGUGUGUUAAGGAAGGCACAAGACAAGGGGAGAGAGAUCUGAUAAGGUGAAAUGGGACAGGAUGGAGCGGGCAAAUGAUGAGGCGAGAGGAAAGGAGAAGCGCAGCCACCUCUUGUUCAGUAGCCCGGGAGGAAGGCUGAAGGGUAGGAAAGGCAUGAUCUACAUUGGUUGAGAAAGAGAACAGCAAGGUGGAAUGCAUUAUUUCCUUAGCUGUUCAAUCUUGUCAGUAAAGUAGCUUGGAAAGCUAUCGGCUGUAAGGCUAGUUUGGGUGUUGGCCAGAGCAGGGCAAAGAAGAGAGUUAAAGGUGUCAAAGAGACACCUGGGAUUGCGGGGAGCAUGAUUUAAUGAGAGAGGAAAAGUAUGACUGUUUAUAUAAGUAUAUAAUAUACUAUCCUGAGAGGCUACACAGUCAGAGUUUCUAGGAGUUGCAGCUCAACAGUCUGUUUUCUCCAUGUAGUAGAAAACUGAUACAUAACUCCCAACUUUGCCCCUCAGAGAAUCCUGAAGGGAAUUCUUUCCAAGGGACAUCGCCAGUGACACAUUGUACAUAACUGGUAACGCCCACAAUGGUCAAGCCCUCCCAGGAAGUAGGCACUUCCACCCACUGAAUGGGAUGUGUGAGCCUUGAGUCAAGUACACCAGGCUCACAGACAGCCUCCAGGCCAGCCCCCAACAUAGACCGCAUCCAGGCCAGACCCUUACACAGACAGCCUCCAGGCCAGCCCCCUAAAUAGACAGCCUCCAGUUCAGCCCUCUUCAUAGAUAGCCUCUACUCAGCCCUCUGCGAAGACAGCCUCCAGGCCAGCCCCCUACAUAGAUAGCCUCACUUCUAGCCCUUACAUAGACAGCCUCCAAGCCAGCUCCUUCCAUAGACAACCUCCAGGUCAGCCCUCUAGAUAGAUAGCCUCCAGGCCAGCCUCUUCCAUAGACAGGCUCCAGGCCAGUCCCUUCUAUAGACAGCCUCCACUCCAGCCCCUUACAUAGAACGCCUCCAGGCCAGACCCUUACAUAGACAGCCUCCAGGCCAGACCCUUACAUAGACAGCCUCCAGGCCAGACCCAUACAUAAACAUAGACCACAAUGGUCAAGCCCUCCCAGGAAGUAGGCACUUCCACCCACUGAAUGGGAUGUGUGAGCCUUGAGUCAAGUACACCAGGCUCACAGACAGCCUCCAGGCCAGCCCCCAACAUAAACCGCAUCCAGGCCAGACCCUUACACAGACAGGCUCCAGGCCAGCCCCCUAAAUAGACAGCCUCCAGUUCAGCCCUCUACAUAGAUAGCCUCCAGUUCAGCCCUCUACGAAGACAGCCUCCAGGCCAGCCCCCUACAUAGAUAGCAUCCCUUCUAGUCCUUACAUAGACAGCCUCCAAGCCAGCUCCUUCCAUAGACAACCUCCAGGUCAGCCCUCUAGAUAGAUAGCCUCCAGGCCAGCUUCUUCCAUAGACAGCCUCCAGGCCAGUCCCUUCUAUAGACAGCCUCCAGUCCAGCCCCUUACAUAGAAAGCCUACAGGCCAGACCCUCACAUAGACAGCCUCCAGGCCAGACCCUUACAUAAAGAGCCCUCUUCAAGGUCCUAGUGCAACUUGCACAGCGCAAGGGUGUCUAAUGAUGCGCUCGCAUUGUGCUACCCGAGGACUAUUCCCUGGUGUCUGUAGACCAAAAGGCUUUUUUUUUUAUUUGAACUAUUUGCUAGCUGGUAUAUACUAGAUAAUUUUUUGCUAAUUUACACAUUUUAUAUGACCAAAGCUCUUUUACAAAAUGAACAAGUAACUACAACUGUGCUCUGCUAGUAAAGAUGGCUUCACUCUAUAGCAUGAUAAUGAAGCCCAAAUCAGUUGCGAAUACUAUAACAAAGAUUAUACAUAAAUAUAUAUAUAUAUAUAUAUAUAGAUUCUAUAGGGUAUGUAUAUAAAAAAUGAAUGAAUUGGAAAGCUGAAAAAUUUAAGCUAUAAUAGUCUUAGAAAAUUCUCCAAUUUAGCAGUGAUGGCGUUUUUCAGACUCACCUACAUUUUUGGAAGACUAUUUUAAUUUAAGCUAAACUCAUUUUUUCGUUAACAAACGCCAAAUUAAACUUACCAUUUCAAAAUAUAUUUUAGAUGACACGUGUUAAAAAGCAUAAUUUUCAUAAAAUAGCUUGCAUUUAUUUUUUGCAUCUUGAAAACCAAUUCUGUUUAAGAGCUUCUGAGUUAAAAAAAUAUAUAUUUUAAAUGUCACAAACAGAAUUAUUUUCCUAGAUUUGAAAAAUAAAUACAUUUUAAUAAAACGCAGGCAUAAAAUCAUAUUAUGUGAAAAGGUAAUCAAUUGCCGUAGCCUUAUGACUCACCUACAACUUGCAUGUAACAUGCUGUAUGCAAUAUGAAUCUGUCAGUUGAAUGUGAAAAAGCCUUCAUUCAGUCAUAUGAUCUGUUAUGUAUCACAUGACUAAAUACACUGGCAGCUAUUUCCUCUCUCUUUGAUAAUGACAGUAUAGCAAAUUGUCUUGUUUAAAACUCAUUUUUCCUCUUUUUAAUUGUGUAUACUUUAUCUUGCUAUGUAGAGAUAAUUGCAUACGCAAAACUACCGUAUAUAUGAAUUAAAAGACCAUAAAAUAUUCCAUAUUAGGAGUGGUAAAGAUGGUCAAGAUGGUAUUAAAAACACAUUUGGUACUGAGUUAAAGUCUUGUUAGCUAGGGGUUGUGGGGAUAGACUCCUGUCCAGGUCAGAAGUUAUCUUUCAUAUCUCCUGCUCAAGGACUUACAAUCUUACCCAUGUUUGAGACCUGAGCAACAACAGCAACCUUUAGUCUAUCCAAUGAUCCUAAUUGUAGCCCUUACACCUCAUGGCAGACAACUAGUCAAGCCUAAUUUAAUUAGAGCCUCAUAUGCUACUCACAUACAUACUAAAACCCUACCUCAUGCUCAUGUGUCUGCUCCCUCUCACCCCAGGUCAGGGAAGGUAUCCUGGCCCAGUUACUGUUAGAAACUAUUUUCUUUCUCUAAUUUUUUGUGGAUUACCCCUACCCAGAGUGGAGGUCAUCGUCAAGUAAAGGUCUUUCAUUUUACUGUACCUUGUGGCAGCUCUUCAGAGUCCCACACCUUUCUUUAUUGGCUGCAGCUCGAGGCCUCUGUAGAGCUUGCAUCUGCUGCCUCGAAGCUUAAUCCUGUAAAUGUGUCCUUACAGCAUAGUGAAGUUGGACCUGAGCUGGCCUCACAUCCAGGUUUGGAGGAGGCCUGCAGAAUAUAUGUCCUCUCUGCUGAGAGGCUUUAUGUGGGAGUGGGUCUAUAUCCCCUGUGGACCGAUAACUGCGCAAAGCCUUGAGCGGCUGUUCCAGUUCUGCGGUUCUGCCUGUAAUGUGGAGAUUCCUGGACCUAGGGUUGCAGGAUAGGGGGAGCUUCUGUUUCGCUCGGGUCUCCUGGGCGCCUGAAGUGUGGUCAGACUGCCUUUUGGGGGACUUGCAAACUGCUCGGAGACUUCAGCCACAUAAGUCUCACAUAAUGUCCACUUACAACACAAUGAUUUUCCUGCUGGAAUUGUUUACACCGUGCUAUACAACAGUAAGAUGACAUAGUCUUAAAUUAGAGGGGCAAAGCUUUAAAAAUAAUAUCAGGAAGUACUUUUCAGAGAGGUUAGUGGACACAUGGAAUAGCCAUCCAGCUGAAGUUGUAGAGGUUAACACAGUGAGGGAGUUUAAGCAUGCGUGGGAUAUGCAUUAGACUAUCCUAAACUUAAGAUAAAGCCGCGGACUAAUGAAUGUAUUUAGAAAAUUGGGCAGACUCUUAUUCUAUGUUUCUAUAUAAUGUUUAGAUGCUGUACGCUGCGUUCUGAUUGGUUGUACCCUGCUAGUUGGGCCUACAGGUUUGCUGCUAUUUUGCACUAAGUUUUGUAUACUGACCAUUUCAAUAUGAAAUCAUGUUAUACAUAGCGCUGUAUUCUAUAUAGCAUGCUACUUACUAAGACUAGAUAGUAUUGGUUCUCAACUAGGGUUGAUAUUUAUGCCCAGCACACUAUAUCUUAUGCACUAUGCUUUGUACUAAUGAUAUACCUACUACCAAUGUUAGAAAUGUAUGUACUGCUAUAAUGUUGCCAACUAACACAUGCCGUUUAAGAUUACUGUAAUGUCUAAAAUCGUCAUAAAUUACCUUUGCAAUAAACCCUUCCUAAAUGGAAAAAAAGCUUUAUUACUUUAUCCUGUGCUUAGCUAGUGUACACUUCAUAUAGUAUACAUACUAAAACAUUAUGCACAUGGGUUCAAAGCCUAUGCUAAAACGUCUUUCAUUUCAAAGUGUUAAAUAGGAAAACCUAACAAAAGUCAAGUGGGCAUAAAUGCUCUCUAAACAAUAAAAGAAAUGUUUAAAUGUUCCUUUAAUUCACACUAUAAUCACCCAGUCUACAUAUCAGUGAAGUGGUCUGGGUGCAGUGGUGAUGUCCUUUUAAUUCUGCAAUGCACUGCUGCUUUUUAGAAACUGCAAUGUAAAUUGCAGGCACUAAAUCCACCUCUAAUAGCUGUCAGAAAGACAGCCACUAAAGGCACUUCCGCUGCACUGACCAAGUUAAACUGUGGAAUCCUAUAGGCAAGCAUUGAAUACAUUGAUCUCCUAUGGGGAAGCUUGAAUGCGUGAGCAGCACUCACUGCGCAUGCACAUAAAGUCUCCAAUGCUCAUCUAUGAGGAACAUUGAAUUGGACCAUCGUGGAGGAGGUCCUACCGCCUAAAUGACAUUGUGGAAGUAGGAGAGGUGAGCAGGUGGAAAAAGGUGAGAAUUUUAUAUUUUUUAUGGAAAACCAUCCAGAGGGGGUACUGUAUUUAACUAUGGAUAGAGGCCACUAGAGCGUUAGGCAUAAAAGUUCAUAUUCCUAGCACUAUAGUGUCUCUUUAAGAUAUUUUACAUAAUAGAUUUCAAUUUACCAAAUAAACAAGGCAAUGGUUUAACAUUCUCCUCUUCCCUUACACACAAAACAGCACAUUACAAACAGUUAAAAAAAUGAACAGCCAUUUAAAAAAAAAAAAGCAAAGUGCAUCCUGGUACAGUGGUACAUAUUAUACGCUGAGCACCCGAGACUGUCAAUGUAAAUGCAUUUCUGUUAUUAAAUUAUCUCUAAAUCUGCUAAAUCAUUUGGAAAAAUGUAAACAUAAUUAAAAUCUUAUGCUUUCUUAAUUAUUACAAAGCUUGGGGUUUUGGUAACAGUUCCAAUAUGACUGCCAAGUAAUACAUUGCUUGGCAGGUAAAGUGUUAAAACAAAACACCCCUAUCCGUCUUUCAAAACAUUGGCACGAACAGUUUGUAUAUGUUGGCACAUCUCAGCUUUUCUAUAUUUGAAGCAUGGUCAGAAAUCUAGCAAUCAAAGAAACAUGGUGGCUUAAAGUGGCUUUUCCGAAACAUUCCAGCAACAUCUUCCUGUUAUUCAGACGGGGACUGGCACAUCAGAAGAACUCUGCAAGAACAAUAAGGAUUUUUAGGGGCAUUAUGGUAGUGUAAUGGUAACACAUCUGCCCCCAAAAGUCCCUCAUUUUCCCUGCGGUAUACAGCUAUCUAGGAAGUGGUAGAU